Molecule: ribosomal RNA, 1360 nt
Filed under: Kingella negevensis
Lineage: Bacteria; Pseudomonadati; Pseudomonadota; Betaproteobacteria; Neisseriales; Neisseriaceae
Description: bacterial SSU rRNA
Rfam family: Bacterial small subunit ribosomal RNA
Source: RNAcentral
GAACAUAAGAGUUUGACAAUCCUGGCUCAGAUUGAACGCUAUGCUUUACACAUGCAAGUCGAACGGCAGCGAGGUAGUGCUUGCACUACUGUCGGCGAGUGGCGAACGGGUGAGUAUAUAUUGGAACGUACCGAGUAAUGGGGAUAACUAUCCGAAAGGAUAGCUAUCACCGCAUACGACCUGAGGGUGAAAGUGGGGGAUCUUCGGACCUCGCGUUAUUCGAGCGGCCAAUAUCUGAUUAGGUAGUUGCGGGGUAAGAGCCUACCAAGCCGACGAUCAGUAGUGGGUCUUAGAGGAUGAUCCGCCACACUGGGACUGAGACACGGCCCAGACCUACGGGAGUGUUAGUGGGGAAUUUUGGACAAUGGGCGAAAGCCUGAUCCAGCCAUGCCGCGUGUCUGAAGAAGGCCUUCGGGUUGUAAGUUAGUUAAGCAAGAUGUGAAAUCCCCGAGCUCAACUUGGGAACUGCGUUUUGAACUGGCUAGCUAGAGUGUGUCGGGGAGGGGGGUGAAUUCCACGUGUAGCAGUGAAAUGCGUAGAUGUGGAGGAAUACCGAUGGCGAAGGCAGCCCCUGGGGAUAACACUGACGUCUCAUGCUCGAAAGCGUGGGUAGCAAACAGGAUUAGAUACCCCUAGUCCACGCCCUAAACGAUGUCAAUUAGCUGUUGGGCAACUUGAUUGCUUAGUAGCGUUAACGCGUGAAAUUGACCGCCUGUGGAGUACGGUCGCAAGAUUAAAACUCAAAGGACGGGGACCCGCACAAGCGGUGGAUGAUGUGGAUUUCAAUUCGAUGCAACGCGAAGAACCUUACCUGGUCUUGACAUGUACGGAAUCUCCCAGAGACGGGAGAGUGCCUUCGGGAACCGUAACACAGGUGCUGCAUGGCUGUCGUCAGUCUCGUGUCGUGAGAUGUUGGGUUAAGUCCCGCAACGAGCGCAACCCUUGUCAUUAGUUGCCAUCAUUAAGUUGGGCACUCUAAUGAGACUGCCGGUGACAAACCGGAGAAGGUGGGGGAUGACGUCAAGUCCUCAUGGCCCUUGGUGACCAGGGCCACACGUCAUACAAUGGUCGGUACAGAGGGUAGCCAAGCCGCGAGGUGGAGCCAAUCCCAGAAAACCGAUCGUAGUCCGGAUUGCCCUGCCGAGUGCAUGAAGUCGGAAUCGCUAGUAAUCGCAGGUCAGCAUACUGCGGUGAAUACGUUCCCAAGUCUUGUACACACCGCCCGUCACACCAUGGGAGCGGGGAUACCAGAAGUAGGUAGGAUAACCGUAAGGGGUCCGCUUACCACGUAUGCUUCGUGACUGGGGUGAAGUCGUAACAAGGUAGCCGUAGGGGAACCUGCGGCUGGAUCACCUCCUUU